ACUGCAAGAAUAGCGAAAGAAUAACUGCUCGCUUGUGUUCAGAAAUGCCUGGCACGUAUCACGUAUUUAUGGUCCGGGUUAUUGGUGCAGCAUGCUGGAUUUGUGCAGAAUUGAUGACUAGCUGAAACACACUGGGCCUUGUUAGAGUCGUAGGCCCACAGCGGUGUGUGUUCUGGCAUGGUGAGCUGGACUGCUGACUGCGGCAGGUGUCUGGUGCCCGGGCUGAUCCUUGUGAUAGCUUCUCUCUUUGCAGGAAAUGGCAGACUUCAGGACCGGAGUCCUAAUAACCGGAGAUCUCCCGAGAGAUGCGCCUUGCAGUCUGUCGGGGGAAAGAGGUUUGCCAUGGCAACAGCCGACAACGGCCAACCAGAGCGGUCCAGGAAAAGCCAGGCGCCACCUAAAGCAUCUGUUGGUAGUGUACAAUCUGAAGAACCAGCUUUCAUAUUUAGCCACAGAAUGAAUGGGAGAACCAGGAAGAACAUAUUAUGUGGCGUGUUCCAGCUUGGCUUUGCAAAGAGCCAGUGAGUUGAUGCAGGAUCUGGGGCAGCUUAAAAAUGAGAUGAAGAGUCCACUGCAGUUGGCAGCUUAGACUCCUUGGGACUGGACUGCAUUACGGUCCUUGUCCUUCCAGACUGCUGAUGCGUUUCCUGUGCAGAAUGCCAAGUCGACCCAGAACAGCAGGAGCAGCAUCUCGCCCCCUCCGCCACGGCCCCGCCUCCUUCCACAACCCCCAUCUCCAUGAGACGUCCGUGAAGAGCAGAGGAUAAAGAAGACAGUUGAUGCCUGGAUCAAUACACUCAGCAAGGAGAUUCAGGAUGAGGAUUGUGGAGAGGAGCGAUGCUGCAGUCUCUAAAGUGGUGCAGCAGGGCCAGGGGAGCAGGAGCGGACGUGUGGCUGGUCCGAGAGGAAGAGGGGGAAGUGAAACCUCUGCAGCAGAUAAGAAAACCUCUCUGAGAGGCUCAGUUAGAGCGCAAGCAGCAAACACACUGGCACACUGCAAACAACCCGCUCUGUCUGUCAGAAGCAGACCUGAAGGGAAGCCAGAGUCGUGAGCUGGAUUAUAUCAGUGUUAUCUAAUGCAGUGCCAAAUGUGUUCAAACGAUGAACAGUAAACUCCUCUGAUGAUCUGUUUUAAUACCUAAUGAGCUGCCUACAUAGACAUCAUACUCCUGACUACUCCAGAUAGUAGGCUGUGAAAUAAGAUACCUCAUUUUGAUCAAAUUCAAAAUUUAUCCACAGCGCUGAUGGAUGGAAGAAAAAAGAAAAAGUCGUGACAUUUGCCAAGUAUGGUUACCCAUACUCAGAACUGGUGCUCUGCAUUUAACCCAUCCAGGUGCACACAUACAGCAGUGUGAAGUAAACACACCGUGAACACACACCUGGAGCAGUGGUCAGUUAUAGAUCCAGCACCCGGGGAGUAACUGGGGGUUCAGUGCCUUGCUCAAGGGACUUCAGUCAUGGGUACUGAGGGUGGAAGAGAGAGCUUUUCAUUCACUCCCUCCCACCUACAACUCCUGCUCGCACCGCGACUCAACCUUCUGGUAACUAGUCUGGCUCUCUAACCAUUAGACCACAUCUGCCCCUCUAAAAGAUGGCAGUGUCUUCAGACUGUUUUACUUGACAAAGCAUGUUUAAAAAUGUUGCUUGUAAGGGAUUUAGGAUGUCUGUGGAAAAUUUGAAGGAAAAACAAAUACACAAAAUGUAUGGUUUAGGAACACUAUUGGGAAAAAAUUAAAUGCAAUGAACCAUGAUUUUUAUUUGGUUAAAACAUAUCGCUCUAAUAGUGGAUAGAAAAAAAAUACACUUAAGACAUAAGAUAAAUAUAGUUCCAAUAAAUGUAUGUAUGUAUUAUUUAAUACAUAAAACAUUUAUUUAUUUAUUAGAUUUUUUUGCUUUUAAUUUACUAUGCAUGCAUGCAUCUAAGAAUCUACUGUAUAUUUAAUUUUCAAUUUAUUAUUAACAAUUAAUUAUUGCGAUUAACUAGAAUAGAAGUAUUAAAUGAUAGAUAGACAGACAGAGAGACAGAUUAUAUAUGUGUGUGUGUGUGUGUAUAUAUUGAAGGGUUGUGAGUUCGAGUCUCGGGCCGGCAGGAAUUGUAGGUGGUGGAGUGCAUGUACAGUUUUCUCCACCCUCAAUACCACGACUUGGGUGCCUUUGAGCAAGGCAUUGAACCCCCAACUGCUCCUUGGGCGCCGCUGCACACUGCUCCGUGUGUGUGUGUGUGUGUACGCACGCACGCACUUCGGAUGGGGUAAAUGCAGAGCACGAUUUCUGAGUAUGGGUCACCAUACUUGGCUGAAUGUCAUGUCACUUUCACUAUUGUUAGCUAAAACAUGAACAUUAGAAAUAAACCAGAUUGUCAUAAUCACUUAAAUUUAAGCAUAUUUAUUAUUAAAUAUAAUAAUAAAUUGUUGAAUUCCUUUCAGCUUUACAACAGACAGCUAUUAUUUGCUGAUACCAUAUAAAAAUAAGAAUAUAAGAACAAUAAAAAUAUAAGAUCAUGGCAUUAAAAAGUAAAAAAAAAAAACAAAAAAAAACAGACUUGCUGUAUGAGGCCUCAUUUUGGUUUGGAUGCUGCCUAUGUAGGCAGUAGAUUAUGAUUAUAAUACACUAGAGCUUUAUAAUUGGCUAUUUGGCUGUGGUCCAAAUCAUCUGUCUGUUCUAUUGAAACUGAUGUGAACUGUAGGAUCUGCUAACCUGUUUGUUUGCAGUGUUUAUUCCUGUAUGUGUUGUUGACUUAGCACCGUGACCUGACAAGCUCACAACACUCCCAAUAUGGCCCAUCUGGAUGUAAACACUGUAGCUCAAUACAUCUCUGUGUCUCAGUGGCAUUUCCUCUAAAUGAGCCGCUUUGAGUACCCAUAUGUUGCCAGGACACUAAUUUGCUAAAUAUAAAGAGCGAGAAGACGAGAGGCAGGCCUGUGUUAUCUGUGUUUGGCACAAGCCUGGUCCUGUUAAUGGCCGUCCAUGUUGCCUGGUGUUUGUGUGGAUGUUUCUAACCUAGCAACACUUCCAGUGGUUAUCUGAAGGUUACUGUGUGUGGAGGCCGUUCAAGCAUUUAAUUGCUUACAAAAGGUUGAGUGUUAUUUUGCUGGAGACACUCUCAGGUUUGUCAUGAGCUUUAGAUGAAACUAGAUGAAAUCCAUAUGGCAAUACCUCACUUUACAUAAGCGAAGUUAUCAUUUUCUACUUUUCAAACAUACUGUAGAUAUGAGUGUUUGUGGUUGUGAAACCCGUUAUUUUAAACUGUAAUAAAAUGUCAUGAUAUUGUUUUGUUGUUGUUGUUGUUUUUACUGUAAUUUUGUUCUAAUAAAUGCAGCUUUGGUGAAUGGAAGUGGCUUCUUUC
Carassius gibelio (silver crucian carp) is the source of this 3346-nucleotide long non-coding RNA. RefSeq lists it as uncharacterized. The transcript is spliced from 5 exons. The record is from RefSeq and is a predicted model, not a curated record. NCBI's taxonomy places the organism in Eukaryota, Metazoa, Chordata, Actinopteri, Cypriniformes, Cyprinidae.